Molecule: ribosomal RNA, 339 nt
Filed under: uncultured microorganism
Description: bacterial SSU rRNA
Rfam family: Bacterial small subunit ribosomal RNA
Source: RNAcentral
GAGUUUGAUCCUGGCUCAGAUUGAACGCUGGCGGCAGGCUUAACACAUGCAAGUCGAGCGGGGGAGAUCGCUUCGGUAAUUGACCUAGCGGCGGACGGGUGAGUAAUACUUAGGAAUCUGCCUAUUAAUGGGGGACAACAUCUCGAAAGGGAUGCUAAUACCGCAUACGCCCUACGGGGAAAGGCAGGGGAUCACUUGUGACCUUGCGUUAAUAGAUGAGCCUAAGUCGGAUUAGCUAGUUGUGGGGUAAAGGCCUACCAAGGCGACGAUCUGUAGCGGGCCUGAGAGGAUGAUCCGCCACACUGGGACUGAGACACGGCCCAGACUCCUACGGGAGGC